GACGAACGCUGGCGGCGUGCUUAACACAUGCAAGUCGAACGGAAAGGCCCUGCUUUUGUGGGGUGCUCGAGUGGCGAACGGGUGAGUAACACGUGAGUAACCUGCCCUUGACUUUGGGAUAACUUCAGGAAACUGGGGCUAAUACCGGAUAGGAGCCCCUGCUGCAUGGUGGGGGUUGGAAAGUUUCGGCGGUUGGGGAUGGACUCGCGGCUUAUCAGCUUGUUGGUGGGGUAGUGGCUUACCAAGGCUUUGACGGGUAGCCGGCCUGAGAGGGUGACCGGCCACAUUGGGACUGAGAUACGGCGCAGACUCCUACGGGAGGCAGAAGUGGGGAGUAUUGCACAAUGGGCGGAAGCCUGAUGCAGCAACGCCGCGUGCGGGAUGACGGCCUUCGGGUUGUAAACCGCUUUCGCCUGUGACGAAGCGUGAGUGACGGUAAUGGGUAAAGAAGCACCGGCUAACUACGUG
Molecule: ribosomal RNA, 468 nt
Filed under: uncultured bacterium
Lineage: Bacteria
Description: partial 16S ribosomal RNA
Rfam family: Bacterial small subunit ribosomal RNA
Source: RNAcentral